Molecule: long non-coding RNA, 640 nt
Organism: Carassius auratus (goldfish)
Lineage: Eukaryota; Metazoa; Chordata; Actinopteri; Cypriniformes; Cyprinidae
Exons: 3
Source: RefSeq, a predicted model, not a curated record
GCAGAAAAUGCAUACAGUUUGUGCUUAUACACUGCUAUGCUUAUGUAAAUAGGUAACCGACAAGUUCGGGCAAUGGUUGAAAGUGAAGAACAGUCGUAAUGAGGAGGGAUAUGUGCCUCAGAAUGUUCUAGAGCCUGUCAAUGGACAAAAGCCAACACAAAAUAUGGUUCUCCAUCUCUAGAUAUGAAUUCUAGACCUGAGGAAGUUAAAGCCUGGUUAAAAUACAAAGGCUUUUCUAAAAUGACAAUACAGAAUCUUGGGGUGUUCAAUGGAGCAAUGUUGCUGGGAAUGAAACGGGAUGAUAUGAGAGCAAUAUGUCCUGAGGAAGGAGGUUGAGUCUACUUCCAACUGCAGAGCGUCAGAUCCACCAUUGCGGUAAUGCAGCUCCAUUUGUUUAAAGUAAACUCUCACAUCUUUUACAAAUUCAGUUAUUUAUAAAGCGCUUUUCAUUGAGGUGAAGUGAUUCACAGUAUUCAGUGUUUCAAAUGUUUUUAGUGUCUGAGGCAGAGCACACAAAUGUCAUCGUUGUCCAUUUCCUUUGCAGCUUGCCACUGAGGCUUAAUACAGUCAGUAUGGUGACCGCUGAUAAUCUGAGGACAUUGGUGCAUUUUGAUAUAAAGAAUCUGAAUGUGUCUGGACC